Molecule: ribosomal RNA, 450 nt
Filed under: uncultured bacterium
Lineage: Bacteria
Description: partial 16S ribosomal RNA
Rfam family: Bacterial small subunit ribosomal RNA
Source: RNAcentral
GUGGGGAAUAUUCCGCAAUGGACGAAAGUCUGACGGAGCAACGCCGCGUGAGUGAUGAAGGUUUUCGGACUGUAAAGCUCUGUUGUUUAGGACGAAAGUGCCUGUUGCAAACAGUUACAGGUAUUGACGGUACUAAACGAGGAAGCCACGGCUAACUACGUGCCAGCAGCCGCGGUAAUACGUAGGUGGCAAGCGUUGUCCGGAAUUAUUGGGCGUAAAGAGCAUGUAGGCGGGAAUCUAAGUCUGUUGUGAAAAUGCGGGGCUCAACCCCGUAUUGCGAUGGAAACUGGGUUUCUUGAGUGCAGGAGAGGAAAGGGGAAUGCCCAGUGUAGCGGUGAAAUGCGUAGAUAUUGGGAGGAACACCAGUGGCGAAGGCGCCUUUCUGGACUGUAACUGACGCUGAGGCUCGAAAGCCAGGGGAGCGAACGGGAUUAGAAACCCGUGUAGUCC